UACGGGGGGUGCAAGCGUUAUUCGGAAUUACUGGGCGUAAAGAGCGCGUAGGCGGUCUCUUAAGUCAGGUGUGAAAGCCCGGGGCUCAACCCUGGAAGUGCACUUGAAACUAAGGGACUUGAGUAUGGGAGAGGGAAGUGGAAUUCCUGGUGUAGCGGUGAAAUGCGUAGAUAUCAGGAGGAACACCGGUGGCGAAGGCGACUUCCUGGACCAAUACUGACGCUGAGGCGCGAAGGCGUGGGGAGCAAACAGG
Molecule: ribosomal RNA, 253 nt
Filed under: uncultured bacterium
Lineage: Bacteria
Description: partial 16S ribosomal RNA
Rfam family: Bacterial small subunit ribosomal RNA
Source: RNAcentral